This is a long non-coding RNA of Mercurialis annua (annual mercury), 878 nucleotides long. RefSeq lists it as uncharacterized. The record is from RefSeq and is a predicted model, not a curated record. Lineage: Eukaryota; Viridiplantae; Streptophyta; Magnoliopsida; Malpighiales; Euphorbiaceae. The transcript is spliced from 2 exons.
UAAUGGGGAGAGUGAGGGAGUAGUUUUGUAAUGUGAGAGUUGAUAGCAAAGCAAAAGCUUAAGCUUGAAAAUGGAACUUUUGUUUCUUGCGAUCAUUAAUUAUAAAACUUACCAAACUCGGAAUCAUUGAGCCCACUCACUCUGACUCAGUGGGUAAACCCUAAUUCACAGAAGAGAAGAAGAAGAUGAUAACAAGGUCGAAAUUGGUGGAGCAAUUGAGAGAGUACCAGAUCCGAUCACAGCACAAGUGUGUUCCUCUCACCUUCUUCUCCCCUAAACCCCUUCUCUGUACUUGGAGUGAUGUAGCUGUAGCUGUCUUUUGGGCCUUGGUGUUUACUUUGCUCGUCGUGCUAUCGUAUGCGACGAUCUAUUUCAGACACUUUUGGCUUUCUUUCCUUAUAAUAUUCCUUGGGAUUUUUAUUUCGAUGCGCUUGAGAAGUUCUAGGCAGUCGCUGACACGGAAGAGGGAAAGAAGAAUGCUUUUACCUUUGUCAAUGUAAACAUGCCAUAGCUGUAGAGUAAUUCACAGGCCACGUAGCUCGGUGAUGAUAGUUAAACUCACAUUUAAUCCUGUUGGGUAUUACUUGGAAAGUUUUAAAGCAUGGGAGCUCCAGCUCACAUUUAAUCCUGUUGGGUAUUGCUCGAAAAGUUUUAAAGCAUGGGAGCUCUGCUCCUGGUGAACCAGGAUGGACAGUUCCUUUCUGAGAUAGAUGGUAUGAUUCUUUUAUAUUCUCUUUAUGAACGUACACAGGAAGCCUUGAGAAUUUACUAUACACUUAUUUUUGAAUCUGAACACCAUAUAUUUGAGGGGUCAUUACCUGCCUUUUCUUGUAAUUACCUUGUAAAUUUAUUCUAGUUUAACAAAAUUUAUUUUGACA